ACACCGGCAGCUCUAGUGGUAGCAGUUUUUAUUGGGCCUAAAGCGUCCGUAGCCGGUUUAAUAAGUCUCUGGUGAAAUCCUGUAGCUUAACUGUGGGAAUUGCUGGAGAUACUAUUAGACUUGAGACCGGGAGAGGUUAGAGGUACUCCCAGGGUAGAGGUGAAAUUCUGUAAUCCUGGGAGGACCGCCUGUUGCGAAGGCGUCUAACUGGAACGGUUCUGACGGUGAGGGACGAAAGUUAGGGGCGCGAACCGGAUUAGAUACCCGGGUAGUCCUAACUGUAAACGAUGCGGACUUGGUGUUGGGGUGGCUUUGAGCUGCUCCAGUGCCGAAGGGAAGCUGUUAAGUCCGCCGCCUGGGAAGUACGGUCGCAAGACUGAAACUUAAAUGAAUUGGCGGGG
Molecule: ribosomal RNA, 401 nt
Filed under: uncultured bacterium
Lineage: Bacteria
Description: partial 16S ribosomal RNA
Rfam family: Archaeal small subunit ribosomal RNA
Source: RNAcentral